CAACGUGAGGAACCUACCUUCAAGUGGGGAAUAACUGCCAGAAAAUGGCAGCUAAUACCGCAUGUGGUUGUCUGUUGGCAUCUUCGGACAACUAAAGAUUUAUCGCUUGAGGACGGCCUCGCGGCCUAUUAGCUAGUUGGUGGGGUAACGGCCUACCAAGGCGAUGAUGGGUAGCUGGUCUGAGAGGACGAUCAGCCACACUGGGACUGAGACACGGCCCAG
Molecule: ribosomal RNA, 222 nt
Filed under: uncultured bacterium
Lineage: Bacteria
Description: partial 16S ribosomal RNA
Rfam family: Bacterial small subunit ribosomal RNA
Source: RNAcentral